Molecule: ribosomal RNA, 253 nt
Filed under: uncultured bacterium
Lineage: Bacteria
Description: partial 16S ribosomal RNA
Rfam family: Bacterial small subunit ribosomal RNA
Source: RNAcentral
UACGUAGGGUGCAAGCGUUGUCCGGAAUUAUUGGGCGUAAAGAGCUCGUAGGCGGUCUGUCGCGUCGGCUGUGAAAACUCGGGGCUCAACUCCGAGCUUGCAGUCGAUACGGGCAGGCUAGAGUUCGGCAGGGGAGACUGGAAUUCCUGGUGUAGUGGUGAAAUGCGUAGAGAUCGGCAGGAACACCCAGGGGGAAACCAGUGGACUGGCACGGAGCUGACGCUCAGGUGCGAAAGCGUGGGGAGCGAACCGG